This 253-nucleotide ribosomal RNA is filed under the name uncultured bacterium. RNAcentral's name for it is "partial 16S ribosomal RNA". It matches the Rfam family "Bacterial small subunit ribosomal RNA", at positions 524 to 776 of the family's 1533-position model. The record is from RNAcentral.
GACGAAGGGGGCUAGCGUUGUUCGGAAUUACUGGGCGUAAAGCGAGUGUAGGUGGUUUUCCAAGUUGGAUGUGAAAGCCUUGAGCUCAACUCAAGAAAUGCAUUCAGGACUGGAUGACUAGAGGACCGGAGAGGAUAGUGGAAUUCCCAGUGUAGUGGUGAAAUACGUAGAGAUUGGGAAGAACACCAGUGGCGAAGGCGGCUAUCUGGACGGUUUCUGACACUAAGACUCGAAAGUGUGGGGAGCAAACAGG